This 372-nucleotide ribosomal RNA is filed under the name uncultured organism. RNAcentral's name for it is "partial 16S ribosomal RNA". It matches the Rfam family "Bacterial small subunit ribosomal RNA", at positions 527 to 896 of the family's 1533-position model. The record is from RNAcentral.
GCAGGUGGCAAGCGUUGUCCGGAAUUAUUGGGCGUAAAGCGCGCGCAGGUGGUUCUUUAAGUCUGAUGUGAAAGUCCCCGGCUCAACCGGGGAGGGUCAUUGGAAACUGGGGAACUUGAGUGCAGGAGAGGAAAGUGGAAUUCCACGUGUAGCGGUGAAAUGCGUAGAUAUGUGGAGGAACACCAGUGGCGAAGGCGACUUUCUGGCCUGUAACUGACACUGAGGCGCGAAAGCGUGGGGAGCAAACAGGAUUAGAUACCCUGGUAGUCCACGCCGUAAACGAUGAGUGCUAAGUGUUGGGGGGUUUCCGCCCCUCAGUGCUGCAGCUAACGCAUUAAGCACUCCGCCUGGGGAGUACGGUCGCAAAGACUG